CUACGUGCCAGCAGCCGCGGUAAUACGUAGGGUGCGAGCGUUAAUCGGAAUUACUGGGCGUAAAGCGGGCGCAGACGGUUACUUAAGCAGGAUGUGAAAUCCCCGGGCUCAACCUGGGAAUUGCGUUCUGAACUGGGUGGCUAGAGUGUGUCAGAGGGGGGUAGAAUUCCACGUGUAGCAGUGAAAUGCGUAGAGAUGUGGAGGAAUACCGAUGGCGAAGGCAGCCCCCUGGGAUGGCACUGACGUUCAUGCCCGAAAGCGUGGGUAGCAAACAGGAUUAGAUACCCUGGUAGUCCACGCCCUAAACGAUGUCGAUUAGCUGUUGGGCAACUUGAUUGCUUGGUAGCGAAGCUAACGCGUGAAAUCGACCGCCUGGGGAGUACGGUCGCAAGGUUAAAACUCAAAGGAAUUGACGGGGACCCGCACAAGCGGUGGAUGAUGUGGAUUAAUUCGAUGCAACGCGAAGAACCUUACCUGGUCUUGACAU
This 487-nucleotide ribosomal RNA is filed under the name uncultured bacterium. RNAcentral's name for it is "bacterial SSU rRNA". It matches the Rfam family "Bacterial small subunit ribosomal RNA", at positions 501 to 987 of the family's 1533-position model. The record is from RNAcentral.